Lepisosteus oculatus (spotted gar) is the source of this 497-nucleotide long non-coding RNA. RefSeq lists it as uncharacterized. The record is from RefSeq and is a predicted model, not a curated record. NCBI's taxonomy places the organism in Eukaryota, Metazoa, Chordata, Actinopteri, Semionotiformes, Lepisosteidae.
GACAAGCGGUGACCCGGCUGAGCGCAGCCCUGAGACGCCGUCGCCAAGGGAGGCAGAUCUACCUGUCUUCCUGUGUGACGGGCGGUCACGCUGUCGCUAACCUGCACCUGUCUUUUUAACUCCAGCAGACACAGCGCGCAGACUCAUCACGCGCCUCUGAGUCUGUCAGACGGGGACCCCCGCAGUACCCCCACACUUGCCGCUUCUCCUCCCAGCCCAACUCGUCAAGCUUCUUUUCUAUUCAAACAUUACGAGAUCUUACAGGCAUGAAACGAUUCCUCCGAGCCGUUUCUAUCUUCUGCUUCUUCUGUCGAGUCAUCGGAGACCUGUGGGUGACAGACAGCGUUGAUCUCUGUUAGCGCCUGGUGAUUUCAGAACAGACCAGCGUUCCCUAAAGUCCCCCACAAGAGGAGCGCAGAGGGCAGAGAGAGCCCAGGAAGAGAGGAAGGCAGACACCGGCCCUUACUGUGCUUCUUGGCGCGCUCCACAGCCUCGUG